GUGACUGUUAAGCCGCCGCCGAUCUCCUUUCUCUCUUUCGCUCUUCCCUCGCGUUGUGCGCCGUUGUAUAUCUUCUCUCUCGCGUGACCGAAAACAAACAACGGUAGAGAUUUUCGUGUUCGAGGGAUUGGCGGCGCCCGCGCCAACGGGAAUGAUUUUUCGCGAGAAAGAAGAGCCGAGCGCGGCGUGUUGUUUUCGUCGGCGUCAAGUAUUUGUUUCGAAAAACUUUGGCGGCACCACCACCACCACCACCGCCAGUGUGAAACUCGAUCAAGCGAGCUCAUUAGCGAGCGGCCUUCGAAGACUCGCUAGUGUGUUUUUGUUAUGGAGUUGCGCGCGGUAUCAGGUUGUGGCGCGAUAAUGGGAAUGCUCGCAGUCCGCGACGCGAUCUUUGUGCUACCGUCCGCGCCUCGCAUGUGCAUCGUGAAACUCUAUCUUCAUCGCAGGUUUCGGUUUCUCUUCAUCCCGGUAGCCUCUAAUCGGCUUUCCGUGAAGAGAGCGCGCUUCUGCGACCUUCUUCUGUGAGAAGAUUCCAGAGCGCGGUGUGUAAUCGCCUAAAAAGAUGAAAGCUGCACCUACGAGCCGAGAGUCUGUCGGCGGAUAUGAGACGCGCAGGUGAGUGCGUUCCGUAAGUCAUCAUUUUGAUACACAAUUGCGCGAAAAUUUCUCGAGAGAACUUGGUUCUUCCGCUAUUGAAGAAAAAAAGGACCCCUUUCCGCGGAAAAAAAAAA
Molecule: long non-coding RNA, 731 nt
Organism: Pseudomyrmex gracilis
Lineage: Eukaryota; Metazoa; Arthropoda; Insecta; Hymenoptera; Formicidae
Exons: 2
Source: RefSeq, a predicted model, not a curated record